GCGUGCUAAUACAUGCAAGUCGAGCGAACGGACGAGAAGCUUGCUUCUCUGAUGUUAGCGGCGGACGGGUGAGUAACACGUGGAUAACCUACCUAUAAGACUGGGAUAACUUCGGGAAACCGGAGCUAAUACCGGAUAAUAUUUUGAACCGCAUGGUUCAAAAGUGAAAGACGGUCUUGCUGUCACUUAUAGAUGGAUCCGCGCUGCAUUAGCUAGUUGGUAAGGUAACGGCUUACCAAGGCAACGAUGCAUAGCCGACCUGAGAGGGUGAUCGGCCACACUGGAACUGAGACACGGUCCAGACUCCUACGGGAGGCAGCAGUAGGGAAUCUUCCGCAAUGGGCGAAAGCCUGACGGAGCAACGCCGCGUGAGUGAUGAAGGUCUUCGGAUCGUAAAACUCUGUUAUUAGGGAAGAACAUAUGUGUAAGUAACUGUGCACAUCUUGACGGUACCUAUCGGAAAGCCACGGCUAACUACGUGCCAGCAGCCGCGGUAAAUACGUAGGUGGCAAGCGUUAUCCGGAAUUAUUGGGCGUAAAGCGCGCGUAGGCGGUUUUUUAAGUCUGAUGUGAAAGCCCACGGCUCAACCGUGGAGGGUCAUUGGAAACUGGAAAACUUGAGUGCAGAAGAGGAAAGUGGAAUUCCAUGUGUAGCGGUGAAAUGCGCAGAGAUAUGGAGGAACACCAGUGGCGAAGGCGACUUUCUGGUCUGUAACUGACGCUGAUGUGCGAAAGCGUGGGGAUCAAACAGGAUUAGAUACCCUGGUAGUCCACGCCGUAAACGAUGACUGCUAAGUGUUAGGGGGUUUCCGCCCCUUAGUGCUGCAGCUAACGCAUUAAGCACUCCGCCUGGGGAGUACGACCGCAAGGUUGAAACUCAAAGGAAUUGACGGGGACCCGCACAAGCGGUGGAGCAUGUGGUUUAAUUCGAAGCAACGCGAAGAACCUUACCAAAUCUUGACAUCCUUUGACAACUCUAGAGAUAGAGCCUUCCCCUUCGGGGGACAAAGUGACAGGUGGUGCAUGGUUGUCGUCAGCUCGUGUCGUGAGAUGUUGGGUUAAGUCCCGCAACGAGCGCAACCCUUAAGCUUAGUUGCCAUCAUUAAGUUGGGCACUGUAAGUUGACUGCCGGUGACAAACCG
RNAcentral lists this ribosomal RNA (1141 nucleotides) under Staphylococcus aureus. Its description in RNAcentral is "bacterial SSU rRNA". It matches the Rfam family "Bacterial small subunit ribosomal RNA", at positions 42 to 1165 of the family's 1533-position model. Lineage: Bacteria; Bacillati; Bacillota; Bacilli; Caryophanales; Staphylococcaceae. The record is from RNAcentral.